CCCCUCUCUUCAAGUAGUGGCAGAUAUUAAUCGAGCAGGCUCUACUGCAUAAUAUACUGCUUUCAAACAGCACGAAAUAUCCUCACAGGGAGUCAAGGUACAGAGAACACUAGGGCUGAAUUUCUGCUAGCCAGGGAUGAAUUACCACCCACCAAUGGUUUGUGGUCAUGUACCCUGGUUUAUUAAGUGAUUAAACUCAAAGAACGAAUAUAUAUUAUCCCUUUGAAAUAAAU
Pelobates cultripes (western spadefoot toad) is the source of this 233-nucleotide non-coding RNA. NCBI's taxonomy places the organism in Eukaryota, Metazoa, Chordata, Amphibia, Anura, Pelobatidae. The record is from the annotation of a GenBank genome assembly.